RNAcentral lists this unclassified non-coding RNA (262 nucleotides) under Ascomycota sp. RNAcentral describes it as "partial contains small subunit ribosomal RNA, internal transcribed spacer 1, and 5.8S ribosomal RNA". The stretch from base 1 to 47 matches the Rfam family "Eukaryotic small subunit ribosomal RNA", at positions 1785 to 1831 of the family's 1831-position model. Lineage: Eukaryota; Fungi; Ascomycota. The record is from RNAcentral.
AAAGUCGUAACAAGGUCUCCGUUGGUGAACCAGCGGAGGGAUCAUUACCGAGUUUACACUCCCAAACCCCCUGUGAACCUGUACCUCAGUCGUUGCUUCGGCGGGCUUUCGCCCCGGACGCCGCGCUGCCCUCCGGGGGGCUCGGCGCCGGAACCAGGCGCCCGCCGGGGGACCCAAACUCUCCUGCAUAUCACAGCGCAUGUCUGAGUGGAUUUUAGUAUCAAAUGAAUCAAAACUUUCAACAACGGAUCUCUUGGUUCUG